Molecule: ribosomal RNA, 539 nt
Filed under: Achelous pichilinquei
Lineage: Eukaryota; Metazoa; Arthropoda; Malacostraca; Decapoda; Portunidae
Description: partial 16S ribosomal RNA
Rfam family: Archaeal large subunit ribosomal RNA
Source: RNAcentral
GUCUACUAAGAGAUUAUUUGUAGUCUAGCCUGCUCAGUGAUAUUAACAUUAAAUAGCCGCGGUAUUUUGACCGUGCAAAGGUAGCAUAAUCAUUAGUUUUUUAAUUGAAAGCUUGUAUGAAUGGUUGGACAAAGAAUCAACUGUCUCUAUUGUUAAGAUUGAAUUUAACCUUUAAGUGAAAAGGCUUAAAUAUUCCGGGGGGACGAUAAGACCCUAUAAAGCUUUAUAAAUUUAUAAAUUUUAUGUAUUUAAUAUAAAGAUAAUUUUUGUAACGUUUAUUUGGUUGGGGCGACAAAAGUAUAAUUUCAAAUAACUGCUAGGUUUGGUUUACAAUGAUAGUUGAUUAAUAAGUAAUUGAUCCCUUGUGAGGAAUAAAAGUUCAAGUUACUUUAGGGAUAACAGCGUUAUUUUUUCUGAGAGUACUUAUCGAAGAAAAAGUUUGCGACCUCGAUGUUGAAUUAAAAUGUCUUUAUAGUGCAGCAGCUAUACGAGAAGGUCUGUUCGACCUUUAAUAUUUUACAUGAUUUGAGUUCAGACCG